Molecule: ribosomal RNA, 256 nt
Filed under: uncultured bacterium
Lineage: Bacteria
Description: partial 16S ribosomal RNA
Rfam family: Bacterial small subunit ribosomal RNA
Source: RNAcentral
UACGUAGGUCUCGAGCGUUUAUCCGGAUUUACUGGGCGUAAAGCGUGCGUAGGUGUCUGAUUAAGUCUUCGGUUAAAGCCCCGGGCCCAACUCGGGAAUCGUCGAGGAAACUGAUCAGAUUGAAUAUGGCAGAGGUAGAUGGAAUUCGAGGUGUAGGGGUAAAAUCCGUCAGAUAUCUCGAAGAACACCAGUGGCGAAGGCGAUCUACUGGGCCAAUAUUGACACUGAGGUACGAAAGGCGUGGGGAGCGAACGGG